RNAcentral lists this ribosomal RNA (470 nucleotides) under Wolbachia endosymbiont of Drosophila santomea. RNAcentral's name for it is "bacterial SSU rRNA". It matches the Rfam family "Bacterial small subunit ribosomal RNA", at positions 1066 to 1533 of the family's 1533-position model. Lineage: Bacteria; Pseudomonadati; Pseudomonadota; Alphaproteobacteria; Rickettsiales; Anaplasmataceae. The record is from RNAcentral.
CGUGAGAUGUUGGGUUAAGUCCCGCAACGAGCGCAACCCUCAUCCUUAGUUACCAUCAGGUAAUGCUGGGGACUUUAAGGAAACUGCCAGUGAUAAACUGGAGGAAGGUGGGGAUGAUGUCAAGUCAUCAUGGCCCUUAUGGAGUGGGCUACACACGUGCUACAAUGGUGGCUACAAUGGGCUGCAAAGUCGCGAGGCUAAGCUAAUCCCUUAAAAGCCAUCUCAGUUCGGAUUGUACUCUGCAACUCGAGUGCAUGAAGUUGGAAUCGCUAGUAAUCGUGGAUCAGCACGCCACGGUGAAUACGUUCUCGGGUCUUGUACACACUGCCCGUCACGCCAUGGGAAUUGGUUUCACUCGAAGCUAACGACCUAACCGCAAGGAGGGAGUUAUUUAAAGUGGGAUCGGUGACUGGGGUGAAGUCGUAACAAGGUAGCAGUAGGGGAAUCUGCAGCUGGAUUACCUCCUUAGG